AAUAAACGCUGGCGGCGUGCCUAACACAUGCAAAUCGAGCGAGAAAGCUCCUUCGGGAGUUAGUAAAGCGGCGAACGGGUGAGCAACACGUGAGAAUCUACCCUUUAGUGAAGGAUACCCUCGAGAAAUCGAGGCUAAUACUGCAUACGUCCCUUCGGGGAGAAAGAUGGCCUCUUUGCUAUCGCUAAAGGAUGAGCUUGCGUACUAUUAGCUAGUUGGCGGGGUAAAGGCCCACCAAGGCAAUGAUGGUUAACCGGCCUGAGAGGGUGUACGGUCACACUGGAACUUAGACACGGUCCAGACUCCUACGGGAGGCAGCAGUGAGGAAUCUUGCGCAAUGGGCGAAAGCCUGACGCAGCGACGCCGCGUGGAGGAUGACGGUUUUCGGAUUGUAAACUCCUGUUAAGCGGGAAGAAAGCCUUGUUUCUAAUACAAGCAAGGUAUGACGGUACCGCUAGAGAAAGCACCGGCUAACUUCGUGCCAGCAGCCGCGGUAAUGUCGUC
Molecule: ribosomal RNA, 504 nt
Filed under: uncultured bacterium
Lineage: Bacteria
Description: bacterial SSU rRNA
Rfam family: Bacterial small subunit ribosomal RNA
Source: RNAcentral